Molecule: long non-coding RNA, 488 nt
Filed under: Rattus norvegicus (Norway rat)
Lineage: Eukaryota; Metazoa; Chordata; Mammalia; Rodentia; Muridae
Description: long non-coding RNA NONRATT021534
Source: RNAcentral
AGGGAAGGGACGCCUCCUGCUGAUUCUACGGAAUCCUGAGGCUUGUCGGGAGAUCAGAACCGAUCGAGGGAGUUCUGGCUUAGUUUGACAAAGUUAGCGACAGAAGUGAGGACUUGAGGAGACUUGAGCCCAGGGAGUGGGACAAAGGGACUCCCCUGCGUGGCUACCUGUCCAUUCACAAUGGCCUCCAUUCAUAAAGAGGGCUUUGGAGGAUCUUGAAAUUCCACUUAGUGCCCUAUGGGACCACAGAACUCUGAUCUAACCACUGAAUUUUCUAGUCUAUUCGAGCUCACUGAGACUGGCUCACUGGCUGACUACCCACACUGACUCUCCUGGAGGCUUCAGCACUGGCUAGGGAGACUUUGAAGCAGGGUGGGGCUACUACAGAGCAGAUGUGCAGGAGCCAGCUCAGGGUGGCCAACUCAGAACUCAGAAGCGCUGUGCUACAGCAAAUGACUCAAUAAACAGUCUUUUAGAGAGUGGACUUA